UCCCUGGCAGUCUAGUGGUUAAGACUUUGCACUUCAGCUGUAGGGGACACAGGUUCGAUUCCUGGUCAGGGAA
Molecule: non-coding RNA, 73 nt
Organism: Bos taurus (domestic cattle)
Lineage: Eukaryota; Metazoa; Chordata; Mammalia; Artiodactyla; Bovidae
Source: Rfam